GAUGAAGAACGUAGCGAAAUGCGAUAAGUAAUGUGAAUUGCAGAAUUCAGUGAAUCAUCGAAUCUUUGAACGCACAUUGCGCCCCCCGGCAUUCCGGGGGGCAUGCCUGUCCGAGCGUCAUUGCACCCCUCGAGCCCGCGCGGGUUUCGGUGUUGGGCCGCCGUCCCCCGGGGGGGGGGACGGGCCCGAAAGGCAGUGGCGGCCCCGGGGCGACCUCCCGCGCGAUCGCAGCACCUCGCGGCCGAAGCGUUCGCCCCGCGGGCCCGCCUGGACCACCAGUGUGACGUACCGGUUGACCUCGGAUCAGGCAGGGAUACCCGCUGAACUUAAGCAUAUCAAUAAGCGGAGGA
Molecule: unclassified non-coding RNA, 350 nt
Filed under: soil metagenome
Description: partial contains 5.8S ribosomal RNA, internal transcribed spacer 2, and large subunit ribosomal RNA
Rfam family: 5.8S ribosomal RNA (bases 1-120)
Source: RNAcentral